Molecule: non-coding RNA, 475 nt
Organism: Pseudonaja textilis
Lineage: Eukaryota; Metazoa; Chordata; Lepidosauria; Squamata; Elapidae
Source: the annotation of a RefSeq genome assembly
ACAAAAGGAAUCCUUUAUGAUCAACUCCCCACCAUUAUUGCACAGAGCAAAAAUGCUUCUGUGGCUAAACUUGGUGUCCUUACUGGCAUUCCUCCAUGGUGCCAAGUCUCAAGUCCAGUUGGUGGAGUCUGGAGGGGAUGUGAGAAGACCUGGGGAGUCCCUCCGUCUCUCCUGCCAAACCUCUGGGUUCACCUUCAGCAGCUAUUACAUGUACUGGGUGAGACAAGCACCAGGGAAAGGACUGGAAUGGGUAGCAAGGAUCGGAACAUCCUCAUCUCCGAUUAGCUAUUCAGACAAAGUCAAAGGACGUUUCACCAUCUCCAGGGAUGAUUCCCGCAGCCAGCUGCAUUUGCAAAUGAACAAUCUUAAAGUGGAAGACAUGGCAGUUUAUUACUGUGCAAGAGACACAGUGAGAGGAAGUGAAUCUUAUGCUAAACAAGAACCUUCUCAUCAAAGAAGCUGUACUAAUUUAUGA